This is an unclassified non-coding RNA of Macaca fascicularis (crab-eating macaque), 117 nucleotides long. It matches the Rfam family "Metazoan signal recognition particle RNA". Rfam says of the family: The signal recognition particle (SRP) is a universally conserved ribonucleoprotein. It is involved in the co-translational targeting of proteins to membranes. NCBI's taxonomy places the organism in Eukaryota, Metazoa, Chordata, Mammalia, Primates, Cercopithecidae. The record is from Ensembl.
GCCGGGCGUGGUGGCUCACGCCUGUAAUCCCAACAAUUUGGGAGGCCGAGGUGGGUGGAUCACCUGAGGUCAGGAGUUGGAGACCAGCCUGACCUACAUGGUGAAAUCCCAUCCCUA